GAGUGGCGAACUGGUGAGUAACACGUGGGUAAUCUGCCCAGAAGCAGGGGAUAACACUUGGAAACAGGUGCUAAUACCGUAUAACAACAAAAUCCGCAUGGAUUUUGUUUGAAAGGUGCUUUCGGCUAUCGCUUCUGGAUGAUCCCGCGGCGUAUUAGUUAGUUGGUGAGGUAAAGGCCCACCAAGACGAUGAUACGUAGCCGACCUGAGAGGGUAAUCGGCCACAUUGGGACUGAGACACGGCCCAAACUCCUACGGGAGGCAGCAGUAGGGAAUCUUCCACAAUGGACGAAAGUCUGAUGGAGCAAUGCCGCGUGAGUGAAGAAGGGUUUCGGCUCGUAAAACUCUGUUGUUAAAGAAGAACACCUUUGAGAGUAACUGUUCAAGGGUUGACGGUAUUUAACCAGAAAGCCACGGCUAACUACGUGCCAGCAGCCGCGGUAAUACGUAGGUGGCAAGCGUUGUCCGGAUUUAUUGGGCGUAAAGCGAGCGCAGGCGGUUUUUUAAGUCUGAUGUGAAAGCCUUCGGCUUAACCGGAGAAGUGCAUCGGAAACUGGGAGACUUGAGUGCAGAAGAGGACAGUGGAACUCCAUGUGUAGCGGUGGAAUGCGUAGAUAUAUGGAAGAACACCAGUGGCGAAGGCGGCUGUCUAGUCUGUAACUGACGCUGAGGCUCGAAAGCAUGGGUAGCGAACAGGAUUAGAUACCCUGGUAGUCCAUGCCGUAAACGAUGAGUGCUAAGUGUUGGAGGGUUUCCGCCCUUCAGUGCUGCAGCUAACGCAUUAAGCACUCCGCC
This 795-nucleotide ribosomal RNA is filed under the name Levilactobacillus brevis. RNAcentral describes it as "bacterial SSU rRNA". It matches the Rfam family "Bacterial small subunit ribosomal RNA", at positions 93 to 873 of the family's 1533-position model. The record is from RNAcentral. Lineage: Bacteria; Bacillati; Bacillota; Bacilli; Lactobacillales; Lactobacillaceae.